This 465-nucleotide ribosomal RNA is filed under the name Vreelandella stevensii. RNAcentral's name for it is "partial 16S ribosomal RNA". It matches the Rfam family "Bacterial small subunit ribosomal RNA", at positions 338 to 795 of the family's 1533-position model. Lineage: Bacteria; Pseudomonadati; Pseudomonadota; Gammaproteobacteria; Oceanospirillales; Halomonadaceae. The record is from RNAcentral.
CCUACGGGUCGCAGCAGUGGGGAACAUUGGACAAUGGGCGAAAGCCUGAUCCAGCCAUGCCGCGUGUGUGAAGAGGGCCUUCGGGUUGUAAAGCACUUUCAGUGGGGAAGAAAGCCUUGGGGCUAAUACCCUCGAGGAAGGACAUCACCCACAGAAGAAGCACCGGCUAACUCCGUGCCAGCAGCCGCGGUAAUACGGAGGGUGCGAGCGUUAAUCGGAAUUACUGGGCGUAAAGCGCGCGUAGGCGGUCUGAUAAGCCGGUUGUGAAAGCCCCGGGCUCAACCUGGGAACGGCAUCCGGAACUGUCAGGCUAGAGUGCAGGAGAGGAAGGUAGAAUUCCCGGUGUAGCGGUGAAAUGCGUAGAGAUCGGGAGGAAUACCAGUGGCGAAGGCGGCCUUCUGGACUGACACUGACGCUGAGGUGCGAAAGCGUGGGUAGCAAACAGGAUUAGAUACCCCAGUAGUC